This 482-nucleotide ribosomal RNA is filed under the name uncultured bacterium. RNAcentral describes it as "partial 16S ribosomal RNA". It matches the Rfam family "Bacterial small subunit ribosomal RNA", at positions 28 to 507 of the family's 1533-position model. The record is from RNAcentral.
GACGAACGCUGGCGGCGUGCUUAACACAUGCAAGUCGAACGAUGAAGAAGAGAAACGCGAACUUCGGUUCAAAUUUCACUUCGGAUUAGCGGCAGACGGGUGAGUAACGCGUGAGCAACCUACCUCUUACAAAGGGAUAGCCUCGGGAAACCGUGAUUAAUACCAUAUGACACAUUCAUAAGGCAUCUUAAGAAUGUUAAAGCUACGGCGGUAAGAGAUGGGCUCGCGUCCCAUUAGCUAGUUGGUGAGGUAACGGCCCACCAAGGCGACGAUGGGUAACCGGCCUGAGAGGGUGAACGGUCACAUUGGAACUGAGACACGGUCCAAACUCCUACGGGAGGCAGCAGUGGGGAAUAUUGCACAAUGGAGGGAACUCUGAUGCAGCGACGCCGCGUGAGCGAUGAAGGAAUUCGUUUCGUAAAGCUCUGUUCUAUGGGAAGAAAAGGACUGUACCAUAGGAGAAAGCCCCGGCUAAAUACGUG